CAAGUCGAGGGGCAGCGCGAUGUAGCAAUACAUUGGCGGCGACCGGCGCACGGGUGCGUAACACGUAUGCAACCUUCCCGCCACUGGGGGAUAGCCCGGAGAAAUCCGGAUUAACACCCCAUAACACCCUGAGGGGCAUCCCUUGGGGUUGAAAACUCCGGUGGUGGCGGAUGGGCAUGCGCACGAUUAGCUAGUUGGUGAGGUAACGGCUCACCAAGGCUACGAUCGUUAGGGGGCCUGAGAGGGUUAUCCCCCACACUGGUACUGAGACACGGACCAGACUCCUACGGGAGGCAGCAGUGAGGAAUAUUGCGCAAUGGAGGCAACUCUGACGCAGCCAUGCCGCGUGCAGGAAGAAGGCCCUACGGGUCGUAAACUGCUUUUAUCCGGGAAGAACUCCCCCGACGUGUCGGGGGUUGACGGUACCGGAGGAAUAAGCACCGGCUAACUCCGUGCCAGCAGCCGCGGUAAUACGGAGGGUGCAAGCGUUAUCCGGAUUCAUUGGGUUUAAAGGGUGCGUAGGCGGGGCGAUAAGUCAGUGGUGAAAUCCUGCAGCCUAACUGUAGAACUGCCAUUGAUACUGUCGUCCUUGAAUGCGCUCGACGUGGGCGGAAUGUGCCGUGUAGCGGUGAAAUGCUUAGAUAUGGCACAGAACACCGAUAGUGAAGACAGCUCACGAGGGCGUUAUUGACGCUGAGGCACGAAAGCGUGGGGAUCGAACAGGAUUAGAUACCCUGGUAGUCCACGCUGUAAACGAUGAUCACUCGAGAUCGGCGAUACACGGUCGGUCUCCUAGCGAAAGCGUUAAGUGAUCCACCUGGGGAGUACGAUCGCAAGAUUGAAACUCAAAGGAAUUGACGGGGGCCCGCACAAGCGGUGGA
RNAcentral lists this ribosomal RNA (881 nucleotides) under uncultured Bacteroidota bacterium. RNAcentral describes it as "bacterial SSU rRNA". It matches the Rfam family "Bacterial small subunit ribosomal RNA", at positions 58 to 936 of the family's 1533-position model. The record is from RNAcentral. Lineage: Bacteria; Pseudomonadati; Bacteroidota.